GACGAACGCUGGCGGCGUGCUUAAUACAUGCAAGUCGAGCGAGGUUACUGUGACAGAUCCCUUCGGGGUGAAGUUGCUUUAACCUAGCGGCGGACGGGUGAGUAACGCGUGGGUAACCUACCCUAAAGUUCGGGAUAACAGCGGGAAACCGCUGCUAAUACCGGAUGCCUUUACCGUGUGGCAUCACAGGGUAAAGAAAGGUAACGCUUUAGGAUGGGCCCGCGUCCCAUUAGCUAGUUGGUGAGGUAACAGCUCACCAAGGCGACGAUGGGUAGCCGGCCUGAGAGGGUGAACGGCCACACUGGGACUGAGACACGGCCCAGACUCCUACGGGAGGCAGCAGUAGGGAAUAUUGCGCAAUGGACGGAAGUCUGACGCAGCGACGCCGCGUGAGCGAUGAAGGCCUUCGGGUCGUAAAGCUCUGUCCUUGGGGAAGAAGGUCUUCGGACUUGACGGUACCCAAGAAGAAAGCCCCGGCUAACUACGUGCCAGCAGCCGCGGUAAUACGUAGGGGGCGAGCGUUGUCCGGAAUUACUGGGCGUAAAGGGUGCGUAGGCGGCCCUUUAAGUCAGAUGUGAAAGCCCGCAGCUUAACUGCGGAAUUGCAUUUGAAACUGGAGGGCUUGAGUGUCGGAGAGGGUAGUGGAAUUCCCAGUGUAGCGGUGAAAUGCGUAGAUAUUGGGGGGAACACCAGUGGCGAAGGCGACUGCCUGGACGAUAACUGACGCUGAGGCACGAAAGCUAGGGGAGCAAACAGG
RNAcentral lists this ribosomal RNA (757 nucleotides) under uncultured bacterium. RNAcentral's name for it is "bacterial SSU rRNA". It matches the Rfam family "Bacterial small subunit ribosomal RNA", at positions 28 to 776 of the family's 1533-position model. The record is from RNAcentral.